UACGUAGGGGGCUAGCGUUGUCCGGAUUUAUUGGGCGUAAAGAGCGUGUAGGCGGCCAGGUAGGUCCGCUGUGAAAACUCGAGGCUCAACCUCGAGAUGUCGGCGGAAACCAUCUGGCUAGAGUCCGGAAGAGGAGAGUGGAAUUCCCGGUGUAGCGGUGAAAUGCGCAGAUAUCGGGAAGAACACCCGUGGCGAAGGCGGCUCUCUGGGACGGUACUGACGCUGAGACGCGAAAGCGUGGGGAGCGAACAGG
Molecule: ribosomal RNA, 253 nt
Filed under: uncultured bacterium
Lineage: Bacteria
Description: partial 16S ribosomal RNA
Rfam family: Bacterial small subunit ribosomal RNA
Source: RNAcentral